RNAcentral lists this ribosomal RNA (482 nucleotides) under Copelatus sp. MB175. RNAcentral's name for it is "partial 16S ribosomal RNA". It matches the Rfam family "Bacterial large subunit ribosomal RNA", at positions 1857 to 2597 of the family's 2925-position model. Lineage: Eukaryota; Metazoa; Arthropoda; Insecta; Coleoptera; Dytiscidae. The record is from RNAcentral.
ACCUGCCCACUGAUUAAUUGAAUGGCCGCAGUAAUUUGACUGUGCAAAGGUAGCAUAAUCAUUAGUUUUUUAAUUAAAAGCUUGUAUGAAAGGUUGGACGAAGUAAAAUCUGUCUCUAUUUAAUUUAUUUUAGAAUUUAAUUUUUAAGUUAAAAAGCUUAAAUUUUUAUAAAAGACGAGAAGACCCUAUAGAUCUUUAUAUUAUUUUAGAUAAUUUUAAUUAAGAAUAUUUUAUUUUUUAUUUAUAUUAAUAUUUUAUUGGGGUAAUAAAGAGAUUAAAUUAAUUCUUUUUUUAGAUUAAUAUUUAUUUGUAGUUUUAUGAUCCAAUAGUUUUGAUUAGAAGAUUAAGUUACCUUAGGGAUAACAGCGUAAUUUUUUUAGAGAGUUCAUAUCGAUAAAAAAGUUUGCGACCUCGAUGUUGGAUUAAAAAUUAUUCUAGGUGCAGAAGUUUAGAGUUUUGGUCUGUUCGACCAUUAAAUUUUU